AUACGGAGGGUGCAAGCGUUACUCGGAAUCACUGGGCGUAAAGCGCGCGCAGGCGGUCUUUUAAGUUGGAUGUGAAAGCCUACGGCUCAACCGUAGAACUGCAUCCAAAACUGUCAGUCUAGAGUGUGGGAGAGGAAGAUGGAAUUAGUUGUGUAGGGGUAAAAUCCGUAGAGAUAACUAGGAAUACCAAAAGCGAAGGCAAUCUUCUGGAACACUACUGACGCUGAGGCGCGAAGGCGUGGGGAGCAAACAGGAUUAGAAACCCCGGUAGUCC
Molecule: ribosomal RNA, 274 nt
Filed under: uncultured bacterium
Lineage: Bacteria
Description: partial 16S ribosomal RNA
Rfam family: Bacterial small subunit ribosomal RNA
Source: RNAcentral